RNAcentral lists this ribosomal RNA (236 nucleotides) under uncultured bacterium. Its description in RNAcentral is "partial 16S ribosomal RNA". It matches the Rfam family "Bacterial small subunit ribosomal RNA", at positions 99 to 333 of the family's 1533-position model. The record is from RNAcentral.
CGAACGGGUGAGUAACGCGUGAGGAACCUGCCUCAAAGAGGGGGACAACAGUUGGAAACGACUGCUAGUACCGCAUAAGCCCACGGCUCGGCAUCGAGCAGAGGGAAAAGGAGCAAUCCGCUUUGAGAUGGCCUCGCGUCCGAUUAGCUAGUUGGUGAGGUAACGGCCCACCAAGGCGACGAUCGGUAGCCGGACUGGGAGGUUGAACGGCCACAUUGGGACUGAGACACGGCCAG